Coffea arabica (coffee) is the source of this 2198-nucleotide long non-coding RNA. RefSeq lists it as uncharacterized. NCBI's taxonomy places the organism in Eukaryota, Viridiplantae, Streptophyta, Magnoliopsida, Gentianales, Rubiaceae. The record is from RefSeq and is a predicted model, not a curated record.
UCCAGUUCUGGAAGCGCUAAUACAUUUGAAAAUAGCUCCAUUUAGCUUCAAAAAGGUUCCUUAUGUUCUCCUUGUUGCAUACAUUUGUGCCCCUUUCAUUUGAUGUCUUUUACAACCUCAUUUCUUGUUUGCUCUUAGCGGGUUAUUGAUAAACAUAUAAAGAAUGUGGAAAAUAUUUUAGACUGUUGCACUGAAAAUCAACACUAGAUUGUGGGAGUUCAUUCCUUAAAUAUUUCAACUUGGUUUAAUUUGUUGCAGGGAGCUAGGUCUUUUGCAAAUUUAAUGUUAAUGGCAUAGGACUACUGUCAAGUGCUUUGUUAAAGGCUUAUUUUCAGCUUUCAACUUGGGCGGUUCAUGAUGCGGGGGCUUGUCGCGUUGGACAGGAACUGGAACAAUAAAGGGGAGUGUAGUUGUUCUGGCAGAGCGCAAUGGCUAGGAGUGGCGCCAAAAGUGCCUUCUGGCUUACUAGGACGGGAUGUUGCAUUCAAAGGCCAGGAUGAGGUUGAUUGAGUGGACUGGAAUUAAGAAUUGGAUAGUCUAUUGCGACUGUAAAGCAUACAUGGUGUAAAUGAACAGAAUCUUGUUAUAUAACUGAGUAUAGGAAUUGUACAGUGGAAUCCAUUGAUAAUCUACUGAUGCACUUUUUGAGCUUUAUUAGGGCUGCAUAAAACCCACAACAUCAACAUGCAAUGGAAGCCAUACUAUAUAAUUGCGAGAGAAAACCUUUGGUGGAGUAGGGGAAGGUUUGUGAGGAAGUGGGCUGUGGUGGCUGAUAUAUGGUGAGGAAUAUAAAUGCCCCAGUAUCCAAUGAAAGAGGUUAAAUUUUAUUUUAUAUGUGAAGUAAGAUAAUUGAAGACAAUUAUGGGCUGUGGUGGCUGAUAUAUAGCAAGGAAUAUAAAUGCCCCAGGAUCUGAUGAAAGAGGUUAAAUUUAUUUUAUCUAUGAAGUAAGAAUAACCGAAGGACAAUUAUACACUUUCCCAUUUUCAAGGGCUUAUUUGAUAGUAUUAGAUACCAGAAAUGAAUUGUUAGUCAGAUUUGCAUAUCAAGUAUAUAAUAUGGAGCAUUGUUGAUACAUUUCCCUGUACAUAAAAGUAUUGCAUAUGAUGCCCUGUGGAAAGACCUUUAGAUACCAUCUUUUCACUGCAUCAAAAGUUGAUGUUUGGUUGAUUGAAAGUAGCUUGAAACUAUUCAUCAGGGUAAUAUUUUUCAUUUUGUCACUUUACUUAAUUAAAUUCUUUGGUUUUCUUUGCUUGAUAUGGAGAGAGUUAUGAGGUCUCAUAUAUAAUAAUCAUGCUAUACAUGAACAGACGUACUUUGGAAGUUUUGUAUGGAAAACUUUAUAGGUACUUGUCCCUGACUAAUAACACGUGCCUCAGUGUUCCUUGAGAAGCAGCUCAGAUUGUCAGAAGAAUGGGUUAAACAAUGACCAAGGCAGAAGCAAAGCAAAUAUUGAUGUGGCAGAGAACUCAUUAUAGCAAGACAUUCUGCAGAGAACAUACUUACUUUGAAGCAAAAGAGGAUGAUCCCAAAACUUGCCAAGUGAAUUUUACGGAUGAAGUUGGGAAUCUAAUUUUCACUCGGUCAUGAAGGACCCAUGUUGAGAUUGAAGCUCAGAAGGCACCUUCAAGAAGUGUAUUGGGCAAGGAAAACGUACUUCUGCAAAAUAUGGCUCAAAUAUUCCUUCUCACAUGGCAAGCCAGCUACGUAUCAACUCCGCCCUAAAAGUUACCAUUAGACUUGCAAGAAUGGUGGGAAUAAGUGCUAUUGGAGCGCCUAUAAAGGUCUAUCAAUCUUUGAAGGCCGAAGAUCUACCUGAUGAGUCAUAUGUCACUGAUCAAGCAAAGAAGGGUGGAAAUGCUAAUGCUAAAUAUGGAAAGUUUUUCAUCAGCGUUCCUUCAGAUCAUUUGGGACCCAUCUUAGCCGAGAAUGAUCCGGUGCUGAGUUUAGGUGUAUUGGUUAAUCAGUGCUAUGCAAAUCGGCAUAAUCCAUGCUGUGGCAACAACCUGUAUUCCAAUAAGUAGUGCUUAUUUCUGGACAACCUGUUGUUAACCUGUUGUUUGUGGAAUUCCUGGACAGGCAAAUGUGGUGCUCAAUAAGUAGUGCUUUCAGGAGGUUAUGUGGAUGAUAAGGACCACGGUGAUAGGAGAAUGGCUCUUGUACACUAGAAGAUUGGGUUUGUAUUGACUUAUAAUCCUUA